Molecule: ribosomal RNA, 405 nt
Filed under: uncultured bacterium
Lineage: Bacteria
Description: partial 16S ribosomal RNA
Rfam family: Bacterial small subunit ribosomal RNA
Source: RNAcentral
GACGAACGCUGGCGGCGUGCUUAACACAUGCAAGUCGAGCGGAGCGGCGAACGGGUGCGUAACGCGUGAGUAACUGCCCCUCCCUCUGGGAUUACAGUUGGAAACGGCUGCUAAUACCGGAAAGUGGGGAAUGAGUCGCGUCCUAUCAGCUUGGUGGUGGGGUAGGGGUCUACCAAGGCGACGACGGGUAGCCGGCCGGAGAGGGCGACCGGCCACAUUGGGCUGAGAUACGGGCCAAACUCCUACGGGAGGCAGCAGGGGGGAAUAUUGCACGAUGGGGGAAACCCUGAUGCAGCAACGCCGGGUGCGGGAUGACGGCCUUCUGGUUGUAAACCGCUUUCAGCCAUAACGCGGUAGUGGCAGAGGAAGCACCGGCUAACUACGUGCCAGCAGCCGCGGUAAUUC